GGGUCAGUAGGUUGGUCGUGCCACCGGUACGUACUGGUCUCACUGAUUCCUCCUUCCUGAAGAACCGUAAUGCCAUUAAUUUGGUGUUGCGGGGAAACAGGACUGUUACUUUGAAAAAAUUAGAGUGUUUGAAGCAAGCUAACGCUUGAAUACAUUAGCAUGGAAUAAUGAAAUAGGACGAUCGAUCCUAUUUUGCUGGUUUCUAGGAUUGACGUA
RNAcentral lists this ribosomal RNA (216 nucleotides) under Glomeromycotina sp. Its description in RNAcentral is "partial small subunit ribosomal RNA". The stretch from base 40 to 216 matches the Rfam family "Eukaryotic small subunit ribosomal RNA", at positions 686 to 864 of the family's 1831-position model. The record is from RNAcentral. Lineage: Eukaryota; Fungi; Glomeromycota.